GACGAACGCUGGCGGCGUGCUUAACACAUGCAAGUCGAACGGAAAGGCCCUGCUUUUGUGGGGUGCUCGAGUGGCGAACGGGUGAGUAACACGUGAGUAACCUUCCCUUUACUUUGGGAUAACUUCCGGAAACUUGGGCUAAUACCCGAUAGGAGCUCCUGCUGCAUGGUGGGGGUUGGAAAGUUUCGGCGGUUGGGGAUGGACUCGCGGCUUAUCAGCUUGUUGGUGGGGUAGUGGCUUACCAAGGCUUUGACGGGUAGCCGGCCUGAGAGGGUGACCGGCCACAUUGGGACUGAGAUACGGCCCAGACUCCUACGGGAGGCAGCAGUGGGGAAUAUUGCACAAUGGGCGGAAGCCUGAUGCAGCAACGCCGCGUGCGGGAUGACGGCCUUCGGGUUGUAAACCGCUUUCGCCUGUGACGAAGCGUGAGUGACGGUAAUGGGUAAAGAAGCACCGGCUAACUACGUG
This 468-nucleotide ribosomal RNA is filed under the name uncultured bacterium. RNAcentral describes it as "partial 16S ribosomal RNA". It matches the Rfam family "Bacterial small subunit ribosomal RNA", at positions 28 to 507 of the family's 1533-position model. The record is from RNAcentral.